GCAGAGAAUGAGAUCACCUGAUCGGAGGCCUGGUCUUUCAGUAGGUAGUGCGAGAGGAUUUAGACCAGCACGAAGAAAUCAUUUUUCACCAUCUCGCAAUACACAAUGGAUUGUUGAUAGGAAGGAUGGUGUUUUUCAUCGUAAGGGGCAGAGUUAUAAUACACAUUCUUCAUUAAGCAGGAGAUCAAUGGGAAGAUUUGUCCAACAGGAUGACAGGUCUGUUGAUUCUUCACGAAGCUUCAGAUCUGUGUUCUCAAGAAGAUUCAGGGAGAUGAGUGGAGCUGGAGGAGGGAGUUCAAGAUACGAAGAGAGUGAUGAUGAUAGGGGCAAGCGUCGAUGCAGAUAUGGGCUAGCUCAUUCUAUGAAGCAAAAUGACAUGGAGGGACCUGUGAAGCGUUUUCGUUAUAAUGUUGCAGAUGGUUAUAGUUCUCGUUAUAGGGAUGUUCCAGAUUCCUUUGGCAAAGAGAGUCCCAAUUGCCAUGGCAGGAGCAUUGCUAGCCAAAUUGGUGACAUUCCAGGGAAGUUCAGGGAAGGUAGAGGGCCAUUUACAUAUCAAAGAGGGGGGAAAUAUGAUGGUGACUCAAAGUCAUCUAGGGGGCAGCAAGGUGACGAUGAGAUGGCUUCAAGGGGAUGAUCUUCUUGACCUGUGUCCCUACUUAUCUCUUAGUGUAUUUGGUUUACAGUGGGCAAAUCAGUAGGUAGAUAUAUACUUUGGAUAAAAGAACCUUUUCCAUUAUCAGUGGAAAGGCAUUUAGAUCCGUAGUUCUCAUUCCCAGCUUUAUUUUUAACUUUUCUUAAUUAGUAUUAUUAUUAUUAUUAUUAUUUUGAAUUUUGGUCGGGGCCUAUCUUUUACCCUUGUAUAUUUAUUCUCUUGUAGCCGAUUUUGGUGACAGGCCAAUUGAAUAUUGUAAAAUCAAAGAAAUGUCAACAUAUUUUACCAAAAAAAAAAAAAAAAAAAAAA
This 961-nucleotide unclassified non-coding RNA is filed under the name Hevea brasiliensis (rubber tree). Lineage: Eukaryota; Viridiplantae; Streptophyta; Magnoliopsida; Malpighiales; Euphorbiaceae. The record is from RNAcentral.